This is a long non-coding RNA of Oncorhynchus keta (chum salmon), 1275 nucleotides long. RefSeq lists it as uncharacterized. The record is from RefSeq and is a predicted model, not a curated record. The transcript is spliced from 4 exons. Lineage: Eukaryota; Metazoa; Chordata; Actinopteri; Salmoniformes; Salmonidae.
AAUCAUUUUCCGCACACAUUUAGUUUUCAUGCUAGUGAGAGCCGAGAAUCCACUCUUACAUAGGUACGUGGUUGCAAAGGGCAUCAGUGUCUUAACAGCGAGAUUUGCCAAGGCUGGAUACUCUGAGCGAAAUCUGGCAGUGGCUUCUGAUUUAAAUUCAAUUUUCACAGAACAGCUUGUUGCAAUUUCGAUGAGACUGUCUUGUUCAGAUAUCGGUAAGUGGGACUGGAGGCAGGGCAUGAAAGGGAUAACGAAUCCAGUUGUUUGUGUCAUCCAUUUUGGGAAAGUACUUGCGUAAUUGCACACCCAACUCACUCAGGUGCUUCACUAUAUCACAUUUGGCAUUGUCUGUAACCUUGAGUUCAUUUUCACACAAAAAAUCAUACAAUUAUGGAAAGACCUGUGUGUUGUCCUUGUUAAUGCAGACAAAGAAGAUCACCAACUUCUUAAUCAUAGCCUCAAUUUUGUCCCGCACAUUGAAUAUAGUUGCGGAGAAUCCCUGUAAUCCUAGAUUCAGAUCAUUCAGGCGAGAAAAAAACAUCACCCAGGGCAGUCGUGUGAGAAACUCAUCAUCAUGCCAGCGGUCAGACAGGUGAAAAACAUCACCCAGGGCAGUCGUGUGAGAAACUCAUCAUCAUGCCAGCGGUCAGACAGGUGAAAAACAUCACCCAGGGCAGUCGUGUGAGAAACUCAUCAUCAUGCCAGCGGUCAGACAGGUGAAAAACAUCACCCAGGGCAGUCGUGUGAGAAACUCAUCAUCAUGCCAGCGGUCAGACAGGUGAAAAACAUCACCCAGGGCAGUCGUGUGAGAAACUCAUCAUCAUGCCAGCGGUCAGACAGGUGAAAAACAUCACCCAGGGCAGUCGUGUGAGAAACUCAUCAUCAUGCCAGCGGUCAGACAGGUGAAAAACAUCACCCAGGGCAGUCGUGUGAGAAACUCAUCAUCAUGCCAGCGGUCAGACAGGUGAAAAACAUCACCCAGGGCAGUCGUGUGAGAAACUCAUCAUCAUGCCAGCGGUCAGACAGGUGAAAAACAUCACCCAGGGCAGUCGUGUGAGAAACUCAUCAUCAUGCCAGCGGUCAGACAGGUGAAAAACAUCACCCAGGGCAGUCGUGUGAGAAACUCAUCAUCAUGCCAGCGGUCAGACAGGUGAAAAUGAUGGUCAGUAAGGAAAACUUUAAGCUUGUCUCUCAAUUUAAAAAAAUAAUGUGUCAAUACUUUGCCCCUUGAUAACCAGCACACUUGUAAAAGCGUUACAUGGUUUCUGCUCAUAU